GCCCGGAUGGCGGAAUGGCAGACGCAGAGGGCUUAAACCCCUCGGCCCUUCGGGGCAUGCGGGUUCGAGUCCCGCUCCGGGCA
This 83-nucleotide transfer RNA is filed under the name Actinomycetes bacterium. RNAcentral describes it as "Actinobacteria bacterium (activated sludge metagenome) tRNA-Leu". It matches the Rfam family "tRNA". From Rfam's summary of the family: Transfer RNA (tRNA) molecules are approximately 80 nucleotides in length. Their secondary structure includes four short double-helical elements and three loops (D, anti-codon, and T loops). Lineage: Bacteria; Bacillati; Actinomycetota; Actinomycetes. The record is from RNAcentral. RNAcentral also lists the same sequence under 1 other name.